UCAGGGUGAUUUUUUUUUUUGGGGAAAUUGGGAUCCUUGUAUUUUUUGACAUUAUAUGAAGAAGAAGAAGAGGAAACCAUAUUUGUUUGACUACAAACCAUUUUUCUUACUACCAAAUUGCCAGAAGAAAAUUUCUGAUGGUGGGGCUUCUAAUUCCCAAAUAUUUCAUCUUUUCACCUGAUAAUCACAUGCGUAUCUCAAUAACAUAAGAAAUAAAAUCACCCUGAUCAGGGCGGUAAACUAGUUUUGGCAAAUGAAAGGCCAAGGAAGGCAUGCCCGAUAACCAAUGGCCAUUAUACUUUUAACUGUCAAAAUUCUCACUGGAAACCAAUCCCUGCUCAUCGAGCAGAAGCAGAACCAGAGGAAAGUCUUUCACUCCGUGCUUUAUCAGCCCUUUCCACGUAAUCUUGAUGGGACUGAUGUUUUGUUCCUCGGUUCAUAAGGUACCAGGGGACGCCAAAAACAACACUGAUGAUGGCGAUACCAGCCAAG
This 492-nucleotide unclassified non-coding RNA is filed under the name Hevea brasiliensis (rubber tree). The record is from RNAcentral. Lineage: Eukaryota; Viridiplantae; Streptophyta; Magnoliopsida; Malpighiales; Euphorbiaceae.